Molecule: ribosomal RNA, 490 nt
Filed under: uncultured bacterium
Lineage: Bacteria
Description: partial 16S ribosomal RNA
Rfam family: Bacterial small subunit ribosomal RNA
Source: RNAcentral
AUUGAACGCUGGCGGCAGGCCUAACACAUGCAAGUCGAACGGUAACAGGAAGAAGCUUGCUUCUUUGCUGACGAGUGGCGGACGGGUGAGUAAUGUCUGGGAAACUGCCUGAUGGAGGGGGAUAACUACUGGAAACGGUAGUUAAUACCGCAUAACGUCGCAAGACCAAAGAGGGGGACCUUCGGGCCUCUUGCCAUCGGAUGUGCCCAGAUGGGAUUAGCUAGUAGGUGGGGUAACGGCUCACCUAGGCGACGAUCCCUAGCUGGUCUGAGAGGAUGACCAGCCACACUGGAACUGAGACACGGUCCAGACUCCUACGGGAGGCAGCAGUGGGGAAUAUUGCACAAUGGGCGCAAGCCUGAUGCAGCCAUGCCGCGUGUAUGAAGAAGGCCUUCGGGUUGUAAAGUACUUUCAGCGGGGAGGAAGGGAGUAAAGUUAAUACCUUUGCUAAUUGACGUUACCCGCAGAAGAAGCACCGGCUAACUCCGUG